CAGGGCUGAGUGAGGCAAGGGGAGCUCUGCUCUUGGCUCCCUUGGGUGCUGAGGUUGAAGUUAGGGAAACGGUGUGCUCCAUGGACUAGAUGUCACUGUGCCCACCACCAAGAUCCUCACCAACCUGGAGAAAUCCCAGCUGGGUGUCCACAGCUGUAAGAUUCACUGCCAAGGAUUCAGCCACUCGCUCCUGUUGCUGCUGCACCAGAUUUCCUCAGACCCCUCUGUGCCCACACGGUCUGCUUGUUGCUGUUGCAGUGUGAAUACAGGGAACCUUCCCCCCAGACAACCGAUUUUGGCAGGAUUGGGACUCAGCUCAGAGGCCCUCAAGUGUUCAGAUCAACUGCUCCAUCAAGGCCUGCAUGGAAAAGAAGGAUUUCCCCUCCCUCAGACCUUUUCCCCACUGGCCCAGAGGCUCAGGACUGAGCCAAAGCUCGCUGCUGUCCAUUGGAUGGUUCCUCUCCUCUGCAGUUUGGUGUUGGAUCAGAGCCCGUCCCUGAAAAAUCAUAACCAUUAACAGAGGUGUCUGGGAGCGAUCGCAGCAGUGAUGGGAGAUGGAAGAGCACCAGAGGGGGCCUUUGUUACCGCGAGCAAAGGAGGAGUUUGGGAAGAGCCGCUCCAAGUACUCAGACAUUGUUAUUAAUUGCUUCCUUGCUUCCUGCACCGCUGCGUUCAUCUUAGUGUGGGCUUUGCUGUGCAGCAGAAAAGAUGUCUGUUAAUAGAAUGCAUUCAGUCAGAGCUGCAAGCUGCAAAACCCUUCUGUUUGCAGCCACCUUGGGGUGCCUGCCACACAUUCCCUGAGAGGAUGAGCACGUGGGAUGGGUGCUUCCACCCAACGGGCAGCUAAUUACAGCCUGGCUCGUUAGCUGUCCUACGGGAAAUUAGUCCCGGCCCUGGGGAACACACAAACUGAAUUGUCUUCAUUUAGAUGGAUUGGAAGUUUUAGAAAAAGGAAGUUAAAGAGGCGGUGAAUAACCAUACAGCAAACCAGCUGGGUUUCAGAGGGUUGGCCCUUGGGUUCUUCUGGAGUCAUGAGUUGCUUCCAGAGCUUCCGCUUCAGGCUGUAACACCGUUCUCAUUGUGGGCUUGGUUUAUGGAGAAUAAAGGAUUCUGAUCAGCUUUCA
RNAcentral lists this long non-coding RNA (1124 nucleotides) under Chrysolophus pictus (golden pheasant). RNAcentral's name for it is "lncRNA (ENSCPIG00010010723.1)". Lineage: Eukaryota; Metazoa; Chordata; Aves; Galliformes; Phasianidae. The record is from RNAcentral.